RNAcentral lists this small RNA (492 nucleotides) under Pan troglodytes (chimpanzee). Its description in RNAcentral is "retained intron". The record is from RNAcentral. Lineage: Eukaryota; Metazoa; Chordata; Mammalia; Primates; Hominidae.
AGCCCAACCCUAGCUCCUAUCGCGGCCUGCAGUCUGGACCUCUGAGCAGCCUGUGGCCUUUUGUUCUGGGGGUGCCAGGCCUCCCGGGUUCCCGUAGACGGAGCUUUCUGCCCCUCCACCCUCAGCUUUCUGCAGUCACUGUUCAUGCUGGCCACCGUGGUGCUGUACUUCAGCCACCUCAAGGAGUAUGUGGCUUCCAUGGUGUUCUCCCUGGCCUUGGGCUGGACCAACAUGCUCUACUACACCCGCGGUUUCCAGCAGAUGGGCAUCUACGCCGUCAUGAUAGAGAAGAUGAUCCUGAGAGACCUGUGCCGUUUCAUGUUUGUCUAUGUCGUCUUCUUGUUCGGGUUUUCCACAGCGGUGGUGACACUGAUUGAAGACGGGAAGAACGACUCCCUGCCGUCUGAGUCCACGUCGCACAGGUGGCGGGGGCCUGCCUGCAGGCCCCCCGAUAGCUCCUACAACAGCCUGUACUCCACCUGCCUGGAGCUG